This 299-nucleotide long non-coding RNA is filed under the name Homo sapiens (human). RNAcentral describes it as "HSALNT0389744". Lineage: Eukaryota; Metazoa; Chordata; Mammalia; Primates; Hominidae. The record is from RNAcentral.
GUGUGACUUUUUCAGAAGGUGAGUUACGCGUUCCGGGCAGUCAGUGCACUGCUCAGCAGGAGGAGGUCCUGCAGGUGGUGCUGCAAGGGGUCGGCUGGCCGCAGGGGGACUGCACAGACACAGGCUGGCAGCAGGUGGUGGCUCAGCAGGAGGAGGUCCUGCAGGUGGUGGCUCAGCAGGAGGAGGUCCUGCAGGUGGUGCUGCAAGGGGUCGGCUGGCCGCAGGGGGGCCGGCAGCAGGGGGACUGCACAGACACAGGCUGGCAGCAGGUGGUGGCCCAGCAGCAGGGCCUGCACACC